This 133-nucleotide RNase P RNA is filed under the name Xanthobacteraceae bacterium. Its description in RNAcentral is "partial RNase P RNA component class A". It matches the Rfam family "Bacterial RNase P class A", at positions 1 to 140 of the family's 367-position model. Rfam says of the family: Ribonuclease P (RNase P) is a ubiquitous endoribonuclease, found in archaea, bacteria and eukarya as well as chloroplasts and mitochondria. Its best characterised activity is the generation of mature 5'-ends of tRNAs by cleaving the 5'-leader elements of precursor-tRNAs. The record is from RNAcentral. Lineage: Bacteria; Pseudomonadati; Pseudomonadota; Alphaproteobacteria; Hyphomicrobiales; Xanthobacteraceae.
UCAGUCGGCCGGGCGGCCGCUGCGCUUCGGCGCAGAGGAAAGUCCGGGCUCCACGGAGACACGGUGCCGGAUAACGUCCGGCGGGGGUGACCCCAGGGAAAGUGCCACAGAAAACAAACCGCCUCGGGUUCGC